This 24-nucleotide non-coding RNA is filed under the name Rattus norvegicus (Norway rat). The record is from RNAcentral. Lineage: Eukaryota; Metazoa; Chordata; Mammalia; Rodentia; Muridae.
UACUAAGGCAGCUCCCACAAGUGG